GACGAACGCUGGCGGCGUGCUUAACACAUGCAAGUCGAACGGAAAGGCCCUGCUUGCCGGGUACUCGAGUGGCGAACGGGUGAGUAACACGUGGGUGAUCUGCCCUGCACUUCGGGAUAAGCCUGGGAAACUGGGUCUAAUACCGGAUAGGAGCCAUUUUUAGUGUGAUGGUUGGAAAGUUUUUUCGGUGUAGGAUGAGCUCGCGGCCUAUCAGCUUGUUGGUGGGGUAAUGGCCUACCAAGGCGGCGACGGGUAGCCGGCCUGAGAGGGUGGACGGCCACAUUGGGACUGAGAUACGGCCCAGACGCCUACGGGAGGCAGCAGUGGGGAAUAUUGCACAAUGGGCGCAAGCCUGAUGCAGCGACGCCGCGGGGGGGAUGACGGCCUUCGGGUUGUAAACUCCUUUCGCUAGGGACGAAGCUUUUUGUGACGGUACCUAGAUAAGAAGCACCGGCUAACUACGUG
RNAcentral lists this ribosomal RNA (465 nucleotides) under uncultured bacterium. RNAcentral's name for it is "partial 16S ribosomal RNA". It matches the Rfam family "Bacterial small subunit ribosomal RNA", at positions 28 to 507 of the family's 1533-position model. The record is from RNAcentral.